CACAAUUCGGUAUUUUUUUACAUAUUUCAUUCGCUUAAAAGACCAUUUAGAUCUCUGUGUUCUCUGCUACUACAAACUGAGGAGCAACUUGACAGCUUUAUGCAGCUCGGUCAACUAGGCCGCUGGGACACUGGGGGAGAAGGACAUCGGUGCAGAGCAUGGCAAAGCCGAGUACUUGUUGGAUCUGAGGGCUUCUGAUCCACAGUUCUCCACAUGAUCAUCCAUCAGCAUCUAGUGACAUUAACACUCGGCAGCAUAAGGCUUUCUCCCCACUAUAGUUGGAGUUCAAGAGCGUAAGGAAGGUAUUGAUAUAGUAAUAUUUUUUUACUUGAUUAAUGGCCAAACAUACUGCUUCAGUAUCUUCCGGUAGUGCAUGUUGAUAUGGCACUUGUGAAAACUGAAGAUUGGGUACGGAGUCGCAAAAACUGCAAUACUCUUGGUAAUGCAGAUUUGUUUUUGCAUCUCAACCUUUGUAAAUUCAAAAGAUAAAUGGAUGAAUCUAUUGGUGUGUGUGGCAAGUAUACUACAAGGAUGAUGAUGAUGUUCCUGUUCAUGAUGAUGAAGACA
Long non-coding RNA from Triticum aestivum (bread wheat), 567 nucleotides. RefSeq lists it as uncharacterized. The transcript is spliced from 4 exons. NCBI's taxonomy places the organism in Eukaryota, Viridiplantae, Streptophyta, Magnoliopsida, Poales, Poaceae. The record is from RefSeq and is a predicted model, not a curated record.